CCCUUAGAUGUUCUGGGCAGCACGCGCGCUACAAUGGUCUUCGCAAACGGAUGCAUUCUCGAAGGAGAAUGCCAAUCUUGGAAUCUAUGCCUUGGUCGGGACAGUUGCUUGCAAUUUUUCGACUCGAACCAGGAAUUCCUUGUAAUCGUGAUUCAUCACAUCACGACGAAUACGUCCCUGCCCUUUGUACACACCGCCCGUCGCUCCUACCGAUCGAAGAGUUAGGUGAAUUGUUUUGAUCGAUAAGAUUUGACUAUGGUCAACUCUCGUUGUGAAAUUCUGUGAAUCUGACUGUUUAGAGGAAGGAAAAGUCGUAACA
This 319-nucleotide ribosomal RNA is filed under the name uncultured eukaryote. RNAcentral's name for it is "partial 18S ribosomal RNA". It matches the Rfam family "Eukaryotic small subunit ribosomal RNA", at positions 1470 to 1796 of the family's 1831-position model. The record is from RNAcentral.